This 318-nucleotide unclassified non-coding RNA is filed under the name Hevea brasiliensis (rubber tree). Lineage: Eukaryota; Viridiplantae; Streptophyta; Magnoliopsida; Malpighiales; Euphorbiaceae. The record is from RNAcentral.
AAAGAAAAUUAGGAAAAUAGAAAAGAAAAGCUUUAAUUCUUGCUUUUGCAGAUAAUGUUUGUACUUUCAGUUUGAACAUUCAAAAACGCUUCAAAAGCCUGGUACAGAUCCAAGAUUUCAGAAUCAGAAUUUAACUAUGUUAGCAUAGCAGGUCCUGUAUCCUCACGUUUGGUUGCCAAGAAAAUGAGGGAAAGUGAAAAAACGAGGGACAAAAAAUUUAUGAAAAUUUAGCUUGUGAAUCACGGAAAAACCUACCUCUCGAAAACGGAUUUGAUUCGUUAAAUGAUUGAGUUUGGCAAAUGUCAAGUCAGUCAGCAG